Molecule: small nucleolar RNA, 85 nt
Organism: Corvus moneduloides (New Caledonian crow)
Lineage: Eukaryota; Metazoa; Chordata; Aves; Passeriformes; Corvidae
Source: Ensembl
GCUGGUAGAGGUGAUGACUCUUUCCCCGUCAGAGCGACAGUGUUGACUACCGCUGUCCAAGCCAGGUCGUGUCUGAUGCACCAGC